This 774-nucleotide ribosomal RNA is filed under the name uncultured Neocallimastigales. RNAcentral's name for it is "partial large subunit ribosomal RNA". It matches the Rfam family "Eukaryotic large subunit ribosomal RNA", at positions 18 to 616 of the family's 3401-position model. Lineage: Eukaryota; Fungi; Neocallimastigomycota; Neocallimastigomycetes; Neocallimastigales. The record is from RNAcentral.
UCAGACGAUGCGUCAUGCAUAUCAAUAAGCGGAGGAAAAGAAACUAACAAGGAUUCCCCUAGUAACGGCGAGUGAAGCGGGAAGAGCUCAAAUUUGGAAUCUUAAAGGGUUUCCCUUUACGAAUUGUAGUUUAAAGAAGUGUUUUCUGUUGAGGUUUUGGUAAAAGUUCUUUGGAAUAGGACAUCAUAGAGGGUGAGAAUCCCGUAUUUGACCUUUACUUUCAACUUUGUGAUACACUUUCAAGGAGUCGGAUUGUUUGGGAAUGCAGUCCAAAAUGGGUGGUAAAUUUCAUCUAAAGCUAAAUAUUGGCGAGAGACCGAUAGCGAACAAGUACCGUGAGGGAAAGAUGAAAAGAACUUUGAAAAGAGAGUUAAACAGUACGUGAAAUUGUCAAAAGGGAAGCGUUUGACACCAGUGUUGUUUUUCUGAAAAUCAAUUAAAGAACUGUUUAUGCUAAGUUGUUUAGACUUUAUCAGCUAUCUGUUUAGUUUUGAGCUUUUCUUUAAUGCACUUUUCAGUUAACAAGUCAACAUCAAUUUCUUUUGCUGUAAAAAAGCUUGAGGAAGGUGGCUUGAGAUUCGUCUUAAGUGUUUAUAGCCUCUUGCCUAUGCAGUCGGAGAGAUUGAGGUCUGCAGCGUAGAUCCUUCGGGGCUAAAUGCAUUUGUGCUAAGUUAUAGCAUUUUAUAGACAACUUGUUGACUAUGAUUUGUCUUGUAGCUUACUCGCUUAUGUUAUUUUACCUACGCUUAGGAUGUUGAGCGCAUGUCUCUCUCU